GACGAACGCUGGCGGCGUGCUUAACACAUGCAAGUCGAACGGAAAGGCCCUGCUUUUGUGGGGUGCUCGAGUGGCGAACGGGUGAGUAACACGUGAGUAACCUGCCCUUGACUUUGGGAUAACUUCAGGAAACUGGGGCUAAUACCGGAUAGGAUCUCCUGCUCCAUUGUGGGGGUUGGAAAGUUUCGGCGGUUGGGGAUGGACUCGCGGCUUAUCAGCUUGUUGGUGGGGUAGUGGCUUACCAAGGGAUUGACGGGUAGCCGGCCUGAGAGGGUGACCGGCCACAUUGGGCCUGAGAUACGGCCCAGACUCCUACGGGAGGCAGCAGUGGGGAAUAUUGCACAAUGGGCCGAAGCCUGAUGCAGCAACGCCGCGUGCGGAAUGACGGCCUUCGGGUUGUAAACCGCUUUCGCCUGUGACGAAGCGUGAGUGACGGUAAUGAGUAAAGAAGCACCGGCUAACUACGUG
This 468-nucleotide ribosomal RNA is filed under the name uncultured bacterium. RNAcentral describes it as "partial 16S ribosomal RNA". It matches the Rfam family "Bacterial small subunit ribosomal RNA", at positions 28 to 507 of the family's 1533-position model. The record is from RNAcentral.